RNAcentral lists this ribosomal RNA (497 nucleotides) under uncultured bacterium. RNAcentral's name for it is "partial 16S ribosomal RNA". It matches the Rfam family "Bacterial small subunit ribosomal RNA", at positions 28 to 507 of the family's 1533-position model. The record is from RNAcentral.
GAUGAACGCUGGCGGUGUGCCUAAUACAUGCAAGUCGAGCGAACAGACGAGGAGCUUACUCCUCUGACGUUAGCGGCGGACGGGUGAGUAACACGUGGAUAACCUACCUAUAAGACUGGGAUAACUUCGGGAAACCGGAGCUAAUACCGGAUAACAUGUUGAACCGCAUGGUUCAACAGUGAAAGACGGUCUUGCUGUCACUUAUAGAUGGAUCCGCGUCGCAUUAGCUAGUUGGUAAGGUAACGGCUUACCAAGGCAACGAUGCGUAGCCGACCUGAGAGGGGGAUCGGCCACACUGGAACUGAGACACGGUCCAGACUCCUACGGGAGGCAGCAGUAGGGAAUCUUCCGCAAUGGGCGAAAGCCUGACGGAGCAACGCCGCGUGAGUGAAGAAGGUCUUCGGAUCGUAAAACUCUGUUAUUAGGGAAGAACAAAUGUGUAAGUAACUAUGCACGUCUUGACGGUACCUAAUCAGAAAGCCACGGCUAACUACGUG